RNAcentral lists this transfer RNA (62 nucleotides) under Marenzelleria neglecta. RNAcentral describes it as "tRNA-Arg". Lineage: Eukaryota; Metazoa; Annelida; Polychaeta; Spionida; Spionidae. The record is from RNAcentral.
AAGCAGAAUGCAAUAGCAAUAUGAUUUCGGCUCAUUAGGUGAAAGUUACUUUUCUCUGCUUU